RNAcentral lists this small nuclear RNA (154 nucleotides) under Sorex araneus (European shrew). RNAcentral's name for it is "U1 spliceosomal RNA (ENSSARG00000014895.1)". The stretch from base 1 to 133 matches the Rfam family "U1 spliceosomal RNA". From Rfam's summary of the family: U1 is a small nuclear RNA (snRNA) component of the spliceosome (involved in pre-mRNA splicing). Its 5' end forms complementary base pairs with the 5' splice junction, thus defining the 5' donor site of an intron. The record is from RNAcentral. Lineage: Eukaryota; Metazoa; Chordata; Mammalia; Eulipotyphla; Soricidae.
ACACUUACCUGAUGGGGAGACCCCAUGAUCACGAAGGUGGUUUUUCCAGGGCCAGGUUUAUCUUUUGCACUCCUAUGUGCUGACCCCUAUGGUUUUCCCAAAUGUGGGACACUCGUCUGCAGAAUUUGCUUUCAUACUCUCCCCUGAGGGAAAA